RNAcentral lists this ribosomal RNA (464 nucleotides) under uncultured bacterium. Its description in RNAcentral is "partial 16S ribosomal RNA". It matches the Rfam family "Bacterial small subunit ribosomal RNA", at positions 338 to 794 of the family's 1533-position model. The record is from RNAcentral.
CCUACGGGAGGCAGCAGUGGGGAAUAUUGCGCAAUGGGCGAAAGCCUGACGCAGCGACGCCGCGUGAGGGAUGAAGGUCUUCGGAUCGUAAACUUCUGUCAGCAGGGAAGAACGGUCACUGUGCUAAUCAGCAGUGAAUUGACGGUACCUGCAAAGGAAGCACCGGCUAACUCCGUGCCAGCAGCCGCGGUAAUACGGAGGGUGCGAGCGUUAAUCGGAAUUACUGGGCGAAAAGCGCUCGUAGGCGGUAUGUCAAGUCAAGGGUGAAAUCCCGGCGCUCAACGUGGGAACUGCCUUGGAAACAGGCAAACUGGGGUGUGUGAGAGGAUAGUGGAAUUCCAGGUGUAGGAGUGAAAUCCGUAGAUAUCUGGAGGACAAUCAGUGGCGAAGGCGACUAUCUGGCACAUAACUGACGCUGAGGAGCGAAAGCGUGGGUAGCAAACAGGAUUAGAUACCCUAGUAGU